RNAcentral lists this ribosomal RNA (316 nucleotides) under Escherichia coli. RNAcentral describes it as "bacterial SSU rRNA". It matches the Rfam family "Bacterial small subunit ribosomal RNA", at positions 1 to 313 of the family's 1533-position model. Lineage: Bacteria; Pseudomonadati; Pseudomonadota; Gammaproteobacteria; Enterobacterales; Enterobacteriaceae. The record is from RNAcentral.
AAAUUGAAGAGUUUGAUCAUGGCUCAGAUUGAACGCUGGCGGCAGGCCUAACACAUGCAAGUCGAACGGUAACAGGAAGCAGCUUGCUGCUUCGCUGACGAGUGGCGGACGGGUGAGUAAUGUCUGGGAAACUGCCUGAUGGAGGGGGAUAACUACUGGAAACGGUAGCUAAUACCGCAUAACGUCGCAAGACCAAAGAGGGGGACCUUCGGGCCUCUUGCCAUCGGAUGUGCCCAGAUGGGAUUAGCUUGUUGGUGGGGUAACGGCUCACCAAGGCGACGAUCCCUAGCUGGUCUGAGAGGAUGACCAGCCACAC